Molecule: long non-coding RNA, 1002 nt
Filed under: Mytilus galloprovincialis (Mediterranean mussel)
Lineage: Eukaryota; Metazoa; Mollusca; Bivalvia; Mytilida; Mytilidae
Source: RNAcentral
UUUUUUGGGUUUUUUUUGCAAAUAAAGAAUUAUAUAUUCAUUUUCAAUUCGUUCAAUGCCAUAUUGAACAGAGAUACAGUGUACAACGACAAUAGUUUAGAUGUCUUUAGAAAAACUGGUGAUUAAUCAAGUUAGAGGGAGUUCAGUUAGUCAAUGGUCUAUCCUCCUUGGAGGAGAAAAGGGCGAUUAAGUAGCCGAUAAAAGUGGCUGCCAGCUUGAGUCUAGUUUUAAUUUACACUAAAAUAUCCCCAGUGAACAAUUUUGGAGAAUAAUUGCUAGGCUAUUUCAUUCAUUCUUAUAUUGAAAUAUCUUAGCAAAAAAUGUUAUUUGGGUUUAGAAAUUUUUGCAACAUUGAAUAAUAGUGAGAUAUUACCCAUCAGGCUACAAAGGAAAACAUUCAACGUCCGGUUGCAGUUUACACUUAGUUUAGUAUUUUAUCAUGAUUUGCAAAUAUUGCUGAAUGCCCUGUUUUAAGACAAUAAUCUCAAUAUGAUAUUGUUGGUAGUGAAUGGGCCAUUCCAGUUAAUUUCUGGCAGUAGGGGAUGGAUGGGGAGAUUUUUUUUUUAUGCGUAUCAUAAAAAAACAUCAUAAAAAAAUACCUAUUAGAUCUAAAGAGUAAGACCGAUCAGAUGUAGAGUUUCUGUUCAUAUUGGGUGGAUGGGCUUUAGGGGGAUGACCUACUGCUGUAAGACACUCAGAAGUUUUUUGCGUAUAAUUGUACGUGUCAGAUGGGGAAAAAAAAUUACACCCCUAAGGUGUAUACAUUUUACACCCCUCAGAAAGGACUAUCUACCCUUUAGCAGAAGUUUGCUGGAAUGGCCCAAUGUAUUCGGACGUUCAGGAUUCUGUAUCAGUUAUUAAUUUUUCUUUGCUAUAACCUUCACACAUGCAGUAAAUCUAUGGUCUUUAAAUGUAAAUGAGUAUCUGUAUAUACAUUAUAGUAAGUUAACACUGUAACAGUUUGCUUUCAUACAUUUUGAAACAAGUCAGUUCUGAGAAUCU